AUUGAACGCUGGCGGCAUGCCUUACACAUGCAAGUCGAACGGCAGCACGGACUUCGGUCUGGUGGCGAGUGGCGAACGGGUGAGUAAUGUAUCGGAACGUACCUUUCAGUGGGGAGUAACGUAGCGAAAGUUACGCUAAUACCGCAUAUUCUGUGAGCAGGAAAGCAGGGGAGUCGCAAGACCUUGCGCUGAUUGAGCGGCCGAUAUCAGAUUAGCUAGUUGGUGAGGUAAAGGCUCACCAAGGCGACGAUCUGUAGCGGGUCUGAGAGGAUGAUCCGCCACACUGGAACUGAGACACGGUCCAGACUCCUACGGGAGGCAGCAGUGGGGAAGUUUUGGACAAUGGGGGCGAACCCUGAUCCAGCCAUGCCGCGUGAGUGAAGAAGGCCUCGGUGUAAGCUCUUCGUCGGGAACGAAAUACGCAUGGGCUAAGU
RNAcentral lists this ribosomal RNA (434 nucleotides) under uncultured bacterium. RNAcentral describes it as "bacterial SSU rRNA". It matches the Rfam family "Bacterial small subunit ribosomal RNA", at positions 30 to 466 of the family's 1533-position model. The record is from RNAcentral.